AACGCGAAGAACCUUACCUGGGCUCGAACGGCUUCAGACCAUCUUUGGAAACAGGGACUUCCCGCAAGGGACUGGAGUCGAGGUGCUGCAUGGCUGUCGUCAGCUCGUGUCGUGAGAUGUUGGGUUAAGUCCCGCAACGAGCGCAACCCUUGUCCUGUGUUGCAACUAAUAGGCACUCUCAGGAGACCGCCAGCGAUAAGUUGGAGGAAGGUGGGGAUGACGUCAAGUCAUCAUGGCCUUUAUGUCCAGGGCUACACACGUGCUACAAUGGGCGGUACAAAGCGCUGCCAACCCGCGAGGGGGAGCAAAUCGCAAAAAACCGUCCUCAGUUCGGAUUGCAGGCUGCAACUCGCCUGCAUGAAGCUGGAAUCGCUAGUAAUGGCAUAUCAGAACGAUGCCGUGAAUACGUUCCCGGGCCUUGUUACACACCGCUCGCGA
RNAcentral lists this ribosomal RNA (438 nucleotides) under uncultured bacterium. RNAcentral's name for it is "bacterial SSU rRNA". It matches the Rfam family "Bacterial small subunit ribosomal RNA", at positions 958 to 1399 of the family's 1533-position model. The record is from RNAcentral.